RNAcentral lists this ribosomal RNA (406 nucleotides) under uncultured bacterium. Its description in RNAcentral is "partial 16S ribosomal RNA". It matches the Rfam family "Bacterial small subunit ribosomal RNA", at positions 28 to 526 of the family's 1533-position model. The record is from RNAcentral.
GACGAACGCUGGCGGCGUGCCUAAUACAUGCAAGUCGAACGAGUGGCGGACGGGUGAGUAACACGUGGGAACCUACCCAUCUGAGGGGGAUAACACUUGGAAACUGGUGCUAAUACCGCAUACUGAUUGAUCGAGCCGCGGUGCAUUAGCUACUUGGUGAGGUAACGGCUCACCUAGGCGACGAUCCCUAGCUGGUCUGAGAGGAUGAUCAGCCACACUGGGACUGAGACACGGCCCAGACUCCUACGGGAGGCAGCAGUGGGGAAUAUUGCACAAUGGGCGCAAGCCUGAUGCAGCCAUGCCGCGUGUAUGAAGAAGGCCUUCGGGUUGUAAAGUACUUUCAGUCGGGAGGCGUUACCGACAGAAGAAGCACCGGCUAACUCCGUGCCAGCAGCCGCGGUAAUUC